GUCUACAGCCAUACCACCCUGAACGCGCUCGAUCUCGGAAGCUAAACAGGGUCAGGCCUGGUUAGUAAUUGGAUGGGAGACUGUCUGGGAAUACCAGGUGCUGUAGGCU
Molecule: ribosomal RNA, 109 nt
Filed under: Aotus nancymaae (Ma's night monkey)
Lineage: Eukaryota; Metazoa; Chordata; Mammalia; Primates; Aotidae
Source: RNAcentral